Eriocheir sinensis (Chinese mitten crab) is the source of this 757-nucleotide long non-coding RNA. RefSeq lists it as uncharacterized. The transcript has 4 exons. The record is from RefSeq and is a predicted model, not a curated record. Lineage: Eukaryota; Metazoa; Arthropoda; Malacostraca; Decapoda; Varunidae.
GCAGGCAAGAAAUACUGUGUUGUCUUAGGUUCUAAAAUGCACAGGUAUACUUUAUGAUCUGUCUACCUGUUCUGUCGUUUAGCUCUUAUAAAACUAAUGAUCAGGCAAGAAAUACUGUGUUGUCUUAGGUUCUGAAAUGCACAGGUACAAUAUAUCAUCUGUCUAAGUAUACUAUGUCAUUUAACUCUUGUGAUAAAUCUAAUAUUCAGUAAAGAAAUAUCAUAUGUUGCCUUAAGUUCUGAAAUGCACAGGUACACAAUAUGGUAUGUCUAUCUCUACUAUGUCAUUCAACCGUUAUGAUAAACUUUAUGAUCUGUCUACCUAUUCUGUCUUUUAGCUCUUAUAAAACUAAUGAUCAGGCAAGAAAUACUGUGUUGUCUUAGGUUCUGAAAUGCACUGGUACAAUAUAUCAUCUGCCUAAGUAUACUGUGUCAUUUAACUCUUGUGAUAAAUCUAAUAUGCAGUAAAGAAAUAUCAUAUGUUGUCUUAAGUUCUGAAAUGCACAGGUACACAAUAUGGUAUGUCUAUCUCUAUUGUCAUUUAACCGUUAUGAAAAACCUAAUAUUCAGUAAAGAAAUAUCAUAUGUUGUCUAAAGUUCUGAAAUGCACAGGUACACAAUAUGGUAUGUCUAUCUCUACUAAGUCAUUUAACCCUUAUGAAAAACCUAAUAUUCAGUAAAGAAAUAUCAUCUAUUCUUUACUUUUAUCUUUUAUAGGAGCGGCGAGUAGCGUUUUUUUUUUUUUUUUUUUGUACUCU